RNAcentral lists this ribosomal RNA (500 nucleotides) under uncultured bacterium. Its description in RNAcentral is "partial 16S ribosomal RNA". It matches the Rfam family "Bacterial small subunit ribosomal RNA", at positions 30 to 523 of the family's 1533-position model. The record is from RNAcentral.
AUUGAACGCUGGCGGCACGCCUUACACAUGCAAGUCGAACGGCAGCACGGGAGCAAUCCUGGUGGCGAGUGGCGAACGGGUGAGUAAUAUAUCGGAACGUGCCCAGUCGUGGGGGAUAACGCAGCGAAAGCUGUGCUAAUACCGCAUACGAUCUACGGAUGAAAGCGGGGGACCGCAAGACCUCGCGCGAUUGGAGCGGCCGAUAUCAGAUUAGCUAGUUGGUGAGGUAAAGGCUCACCAAGGCGACGAUCUGUAGCUGGUCUGAGAGGACGACCAGCCACACUGGGACUGAGACACGGCCCAGACUCCUACGGGAGGCAGCAGUGGGGAAUUUUGGACAAUGGGCGCAAGCCUGAUCCAGCAAUGCCGCGUGCAGGAUGAAGGCCUUCGGGUUGUAAACUGCUUUUGUACGGAACGAAACGGUGAGCUCUAAUACAGUUUGCUAAUGACGGUACCGUAAGAAUAAGCACCGGCUAACUACGUGCCAGCCGCCGCGGUAA